This 426-nucleotide ribosomal RNA is filed under the name Triticum aestivum (bread wheat). RNAcentral describes it as "partial small subunit ribosomal RNA". Lineage: Eukaryota; Viridiplantae; Streptophyta; Magnoliopsida; Poales; Poaceae. The record is from RNAcentral.
AUGGAGGGAGUUGCAGGGAUGUUGAAGGGAUUGAAGCUGACGGAGGAAGAGGGGAGGGGUGUGAAGAUCCGUAUCCCAGCAAGAGAGAGGGGCAAAUGCGUGGAGUUCCAGGCGGUGGGCAAGGUACUGUCGGACAAACUGGUGCACCAGGAUGCGAUCUCCCUCUCGUUGGGUCGGGUGUGGUGUCCGACCAAGGGCACUGGCUGCAAGGAUGUGGGGGACAACAUGUUCGUUUUCACUUUCCUCCAGGAAUCAGGGAAGAGAAAGGCGAUCGAGGAUGGGACAUGGAUGUUCGACAAGGACUUGGUGGUAGUAGAGGAUUACGUACCAAGCAAACGGAUGGAGGAUUACGACUUCAAUUCUAUUCCAAUGUGGGUACGAGUGUUCGGCCUACCCCUCAGUAUGAUGACUGAGGAAUCAGCAGAG